This 132-nucleotide non-coding RNA is filed under the name pig gut metagenome. Its description in RNAcentral is "glmS glucosamine-6-phosphate activated ribozyme". It matches the Rfam family "glmS glucosamine-6-phosphate activated ribozyme aptamer", at positions 11 to 151 of the family's 167-position model. Rfam says of the family: This entry contains a glucosamine-6-phosphate activated ribozyme that is found in the mRNA for GlmS. GlmS is an enzyme that uses fructose-6-phosphate and glutamine to generate glucosamine-6-phosphate. The record is from RNAcentral.
CUUAGCGCCAGAACCUUGCAGCUGCUGUCAAGGGUGACGAGGUGAAGAGUUAUCGAAAAUUCGGCGGAUGCUCUUCCGUAUUGCUGAGUGCGUAUAUUGGAGCAAAUAUGAGGGUAACUUCAAAACAAAUAU